AAGACUAUAGACCUGCGGAGUACCUGCGGAAGGAUCAUUAUUGAGUUUUCUGCGUAACUGUAGAUUUCUCCACCCAUUGUCAAAUGAAUUGUUGCUUUGGUGAAACGUAGUGGUAAAACACUCCAUCGGGUUGGGUGACUGACCGGGUGUGAUUUCGCCAAAGUUUUUUGAAACUCGAGUCUUGCAGUCUGAUUUUAUAAAGAAAAUUUAUAAAAACUUUUAACAACGGAUCUCUAGAUC
This 240-nucleotide unclassified non-coding RNA is filed under the name soil metagenome. RNAcentral describes it as "partial contains 5.8S ribosomal RNA, internal transcribed spacer 2, and large subunit ribosomal RNA". The record is from RNAcentral.